UAGGGAAUCUUCGGCAAUGGGGGGAACCCUGACCGAGCAACGCCGCGUGAGUGAAGAAGGUUUUCGGAUCGUAAAGCCCUUUUGUUAAGGAAGAACGAGUGUGAGAAUGGAAAGUUCAUACUGCGACGGUACUUAACCAGAAAGGGACGGCUAACUACGUGCCAGCAGCCGCGGUUAUACGUAGGUCCCGAGCGUUGUCCGGAUUUAUUGGGCGUAAAGCGAGCGCAGGCGGUUAGAUAAGUCUGAAGUUAAAGGCAGUGGCUCAACCAUUGUAGGCUUUGGAUGCUGGUUAAGUUGAAUGCAGAAGGGGGGAGUGGAAUUCCAUGUGUGGCGGUGAAAUGCGUAAAUAUAUGGAAGAACACCGGUGGCGAAAGCGGCUCUCUGGACUGUAAAUGGCGAUGAGGCUAGAAAGCGUGGGGAGCGAACAGG
RNAcentral lists this ribosomal RNA (429 nucleotides) under Bacteroidota bacterium. RNAcentral describes it as "Bacteroidetes bacterium partial 16S ribosomal RNA". It matches the Rfam family "Bacterial small subunit ribosomal RNA", at positions 355 to 776 of the family's 1533-position model. Lineage: Bacteria; Pseudomonadati; Bacteroidota. The record is from RNAcentral.